GCUGGGUGUGGUGGUGCUCGCCUUUAAUCCCAGCUACUUGGGAGGCUGAGGCACGUGAAUUGCUUGAACCCAGGAGACAGAGGUUGCAGUGAGCUGAAACUGCACCACUGCACUCCAGCCUGGGUGAUAGAGCAAGACCUUGUCUCAA
Macaca fascicularis (crab-eating macaque) is the source of this 148-nucleotide unclassified non-coding RNA. It matches the Rfam family "Metazoan signal recognition particle RNA". From Rfam's summary of the family: The signal recognition particle (SRP) is a universally conserved ribonucleoprotein. It is involved in the co-translational targeting of proteins to membranes. NCBI's taxonomy places the organism in Eukaryota, Metazoa, Chordata, Mammalia, Primates, Cercopithecidae. The record is from Ensembl.